UACGUAGGGGGCAAGCGUUAUCCGGAUUUACUGGGUGUAAAGGGAGCGUAGACGGCAGUGCAAGUCUGGAGUGAAAGGCGGGGGCUCAACCCCCGGACUGCUCUGGAAACUGUACGGCUGGAGUGCAGGAGAGGUAAGUGGAAUUCCUAGUGUAGCGGUGAAAUGCGUAGAUAUAUGGAAGAACACCAGUGGCGAAAGCGGCUCUCUGGUCUGUAACUGACGCUGAGGUUCGAAAGCGUGGGUAGCAAACAGG
Molecule: ribosomal RNA, 253 nt
Filed under: uncultured bacterium
Lineage: Bacteria
Description: partial 16S ribosomal RNA
Rfam family: Bacterial small subunit ribosomal RNA
Source: RNAcentral